UCGUACAACAGAGGCGUCGGGGCUGUCGCUGACCUUUCAAAGGUCGUGCACGCCCCGAGCGCUCUCGCACAAUCCAUCUCACCCCUUUGUGCAUCACCGCGUGGGUCCCCCCCCUUUUGCGGGGAGGGAGGGCCUGCGUCUCCACAUAAAACCUAAUACAGUGUAGAGUGUUUAUUUUUGCGGUCAUACGCAAUCAAUA
This 199-nucleotide unclassified non-coding RNA is filed under the name uncultured Russulaceae. RNAcentral describes it as "sequence contains ITS1". The record is from RNAcentral. Lineage: Eukaryota; Fungi; Basidiomycota; Agaricomycetes; Russulales; Russulaceae.